ACGGAUCCUUCGGGUGACGGAUCGGAUGGAGAGCGGCGGACGGGUGAGUAACGCGUAGGUAACCUGCCCUGUACAGAGGGAUAGCCACUGGAAACGGUGAUUAAUACCUCAUAAUGCCGGAUCUGCACAUGCAGGACCGGUCAAAGUUUUUCGGUACAGGAUGGACCUGCGUCUGAUUAGCUUGUUGGUGGGGUAACGGCUCACCAAGGCGACGAUCAGUAGCCGACCUGAGAGGGUGAUCGGCCACAUUGGAACUGAGACACGGUCCAAACUCC
Molecule: ribosomal RNA, 275 nt
Filed under: uncultured Eubacteriales bacterium
Lineage: Bacteria; Bacillati; Bacillota; Clostridia; Eubacteriales
Description: uncultured Clostridiales bacterium partial 16S ribosomal RNA
Rfam family: Bacterial small subunit ribosomal RNA
Source: RNAcentral